GGAGUCUCUUCAGGGCGCACGGGGUCCUCGGAGGGAUGAGCACUUUCAGCCUCCGCACGGUGAGCCUGGAGCUGGCUAGGUGCCUCAUCGAAUCCUCCCCAAAACCCAAUGAGGGAUCACAGGGUGCCCACCUCGUGCAUGAUCUGCUGUCCUGAACACCGUGUGCCAGAGCGGAGUGAAAAUCCCAGCCACACUCUUCCCAUAAAGGAUGAGGAAACAGAGGCACAGAGAGCUUAAGCAAAUUGCCUGAGGUCACACAGCAGAGCUGGAUUUGAUGCGGGGAAGUGACUCCAGAGCUCGCCGUUGCCCAGUCGGCUCUGCCACCUCGGGCCUCAAGAGGAGAGGAGAAUGUCUUUCUGGGAGUAAUGUGGAGAUUUCUCUGGGAGGCAAGAGGAUGGCGUGGGACUCACAGGUCUGGAGUGUGGAGUCCUGGGGCCGACGCCUUGGGCUGAGAACACCAGGCUCGGGUGGGAGGAUGUGGUGGCCGAGGGCGCUGACUGUCCCCAGGCGACCAGGGUAGAGCCAAUUCUGCCAUCCCCCACCCCCGCUCAGGGUGGGGAUUGUGUCCUUUGCUGCACCCUCCCACCCCCAGCCAGCAGCCCAGCCCCCAGCCUCCUGAACCCACGAGACCCCCCCAAGAUAGACUGGAGGGAAAGCCCAACUUCAUCAGUGGAGUCAGGUGAAAUCCGCUUGUAAAUAAGUCAAUCAGAAACCAAAAGGUUGCGUCCCAGCAUGACCGGGAACUGUCACCGUCAGCGGCGUGGAAAUGAUGGAGACGAGAGGGACAGUGCCUGUCAAGAGAUGAGCAAGGGGCAUCGAAAGCAGGAAGGAAGAUGUCACCCAUGGGCACCAGAUGCCGCUGGGGGAGCAGCUGAGGACAACCAUGGACACAGUCAGAGUAACUCUUGCUAACAUGUGCAUGCGGUGUCCUGCCUGUUUCUCCGGGCCAAGGGGCUGUCGGUGAGCUCCUGAGGCCUGGUUCCCAGGCAGAUCGGAGGAUGGUCUGGGGUCUUGG
RNAcentral lists this long non-coding RNA (1015 nucleotides) under Equus caballus (horse). RNAcentral's name for it is "lncRNA (ENSECAG00000046935.1)". Lineage: Eukaryota; Metazoa; Chordata; Mammalia; Perissodactyla; Equidae. The record is from RNAcentral.